This is a long non-coding RNA of Cebus imitator (Panamanian white-faced capuchin), 870 nucleotides long. RefSeq lists it as uncharacterized. The record is from RefSeq and is a predicted model, not a curated record. NCBI's taxonomy places the organism in Eukaryota, Metazoa, Chordata, Mammalia, Primates, Cebidae. The transcript has 3 exons.
GAAGCAGCAGUAGCAGAUAGCUUUCUGUGUCCUUCACUGGCUGCAAGGUGUGACAAGGAGAAAGGUUAUGUUCCAGAAGCCUUUGCAGCUUCAGAAGGCCAGAUAACUUCCAAAAUUACCCAAGGAUUCAUCAUAUCAAGGGACAAACAGCUUCCUGCUGCUUCUCUCCGUGUCCUCUCAGGGCGAUAGUGUCUGGCCCUCUCUCAAGAUCUGGGUUUUCCUCUAUCUGGAUUCUCCCAGGUCAGGUCAGAUUUGGAGCUUGGACAACAUAUAAAGGUGCUUCUAAAUUACUAGGAGGAACAUUGUGAACAUGGGAAGUCCUAAAAUCCUCUCCCCAGAGAUAUGGUUUGGAAGAAAGGUCAACAAUCUAUGCGUGUCAUAAGUACUGCAAGAAAUUCUAGUGCCAGUGGUCCAUGGGCCACCUUUGAGACCCCCCACCCCCCACCCCGGCCCAGAGCAUCUCUUACUGCUGAACUCCCAGAAAACCUCCCUGGUCCUCUUUUGCUGGGCAACACAAGACAGCUCGGCAGGAUUUAGGUUACAUGACAAACAUUUAGUGAGUGGCCCCACUUGGGCCAGGCAGUCAUUCCUCUGGGACCCUGCUCCUCCUGCCUUUCCCUGCUCCUUCCUUUUCCCAAUCCCCUAUUAUUGUUGCUUCUCACCUCUGGCUCCUUUGCUCUUGCUGCCUUCUUGAACUCUCUGAAGCCACUGAACCUCUGAGGCUGGGAGUCCUCUUCUCCUCUAAACUUCUCUUUCCUUAGCAGUGGGGACUCAGCCCCAGUAAGUGGGAUCCUGGCUCUGAUAUGGGUUGGCUGUGUCACCACCCAAAUCUCAUCUUGAAUUGUAACUCCCACAAUUCCCAUGUGUCAU